Molecule: long non-coding RNA, 2580 nt
Filed under: Sparus aurata (gilthead seabream)
Lineage: Eukaryota; Metazoa; Chordata; Actinopteri; Spariformes; Sparidae
Description: lncRNA (ENSSAUG00010013220.1)
Source: RNAcentral
CUCCUUUCCGCCUCCCAAUGUGAAAGUCAGAUCAUAAACUUUUAAAUUGAUAGUGAUUCGACAUGUUUUGAAGAAAUGAUAAUGUGGUACGUAUGACAUAUACAGACGUGAACACGUCAGUGCUUUGCAGAAACAUUAAACCUUUGGAAUCUUAAAAAUACUUAAUGUUUAUUUGAAAUUCACUUUCAGAAAAAGCUUUAAUCGAUUUUGUAUAUUAACAACAGGUCACAUAACUUCUUGUAUGAUAAACCGGUUGCUUCACUGGGAAUUAUUACCUGGCUCUGCAGUUUCAGUCAGCAUGGUGGGUUAGAGCUUUUAUUUUUUAGCAUCUUUCAGGUCAGUCAUUUAGUUUCAUACGUCACAACUUUGCUCUUUUUACUUUCAGAACCAUACGCUGCAUUCAGGUGCUCCUCGGAUGGUCCUGCUACCCCAAGUUUGGAAGUCGUUCCUCUGAUGUUGGUGUGUCGGAGGCAACGUGGACUCCAAAAAGAGGUGCAUAGAUCCUCCACGGCCGCAAUGUUUUCUUGAACGGUUCCAUGAAGUCGUGGAAGGAGUAGCCUCCUCGAGCCCUUCUCAUGGGGCUGUGGAGGUACAGUGCGCUGGGAAUAAAAGGUUUGCUAACCACUGCAUUAGAUAUACUUCAGUUGACUUGCAGUCGAAUGCUGUUAUUAGUAUUUGGUCUAAUAGUCUCACGGGUGAAAUAUCCAAUAAAAACAUUGUGGACAAGUCAACGAAAAUAAUUGAUUUUGCUAUUAAACCAUGUCCCGUUGAAUUAUGGGGGAAACUCGACUGCAGCUUUAAUCAGAUCUACUUGGUUGCUUAAAAAGUAAUUGCUGAGUGCAUUAAAAAAAAUGCAGCUCCUUAACUUUAGGAUGCGGAGCCAAAUCCGAGAGUCGCUUUAGCUUUUUUUCAGUAGGAAAAAAAACAAACAUACACCUGUUGAUCAUUCAACUUUGUGAAUGAGAACACACAACAUGCUGACAAACAUGUCAUUUCCCCAGGGAGAGGGCUGGGAGAUCCCAGAGCGUUGUUUGCUUGUUGGAAAAACUGUCUGGGACGCUUUCCAGGAUUUACCCAAAGAGAAAAGCUGUGUUUUUCUUUGCUGAUGUUGUUGAGAGUGAAUGGAGAGCAGAUUGUAGAGGCUAUGUCUCUCAUGUCUGUCCAAGGCCUUGAUACCUUUGAUCUUCUUAGGAAACAAACAAGCUUUUAAACUUGGCACUCCUGGAGCUAGUAUCUCCCUUUUUCUGACUCUGUUCAUCAAAUCGCUGAUCCUGAGAAAAUUGAUCUUCGCCUGAAUAGUUAUGCAUGCACAUGCUUAUGCAAUGAUCUGUGAUUUAAAAUGUGGAGCGAGCAUAGCUAAGAUAAAAAAAAAAAAAAGAAUGUUUUUUUUUUUUUUGUUUUUUUUUACCAGAUCUUAACGCAGCACAACAGCAUGUAGCUUUGGGAUAAAUAUUUGCAAAAGCCUGUGUUUUUUUUUUGUUUUUUUUUCCCCCAUAUCUUUGAACAAACUACUGAGCACAUAAACAAAACAGUUUUAAUCAGCUACAAACAAUGUUUCAAGCAUCAGAAUUUGCAUCUCCAAGUAACAUUUGUUUUGCUUCUUUUUUUUUCAAAAAGGGAUCAAACGAAGAUUAGAACGACACGGAAACAGUUUUAAGUGAAGAGAGGUUCCCGCUCUGGUUCAUCACAUUUGAUCCUCCUCAGAAACCCGCUGUGCCAACUGUUCAUUAACUUCAGACUCAGCGUAGUUUUUACAUAAAUGUUUACCAAGUGGAGGUUAUGGAAACAAAGAGGGGUUACACUACAUACAGUAAGUAUUUUGCACCUUUAGAGGAAGGCUAACGUGAAAUAGUUGACCUGACGCUCGAUCGAAACGCUGUUCAAUAAAAAGAUUUAAAGAUUUAAACCAACAAAACUCCAGAUUACAUUAAGCACAAAACACAAUAUAGCUCAAAUUACAAAACAUCAAGCUUAUAACAUUAAAUGAUCUAAAAGUUCUGUGAGCCUGACUUGCAUCAUCUUCAUCCCUCUCACUCAUAACUACAUGAGAAGUCUACUGCCAACUCUGAAACAAAUGCUUUCAUAUACAGUAUGAAUACAGCAGAUCAAAACUACAAUUGCAAAUGAGUGGCUGUUUACAUGAAUAUUAAGUUUGGAUUCUGGAGAAUUAUAUUUUUAGAAUUAAAACUGCAGCCAGGAUCUGUUGUCCUGUUCAUGUAAUUGAUUGCUUUUGACUGAACAGUGCUACAUAUGUUUCCAGCUACCGAUAUACACUUUUCUUUUAAGUUUUUUUACGAGCUAAGAAAAUUAAAAAGUUCUAACAUUGCAACCCUAUAUAGUUAGCCACUAGUUUGAAACAAGCUUAUAGUUACUAUAAAUGUGCAUGAAGGAUGUAUAAACUACAUGAAGGAUUGAGCGGAUGCAGCCCAGCAGAUCUCCCGGGGGAAACACACAACUCACCCAGUGGAAACAAGCUGAAAAAGCAGGAAGUUGGUUCUGAAAAUGUGUAUAUAUGUUGUCGUAUAUAGGAACAUUCAGAAAAACUCUGCCAUGUCAUUUUUUACCUCUUAAGGACUUUCA